GACGAACGCUGGCGGCGUGCUUAACACAUGCAAGUCGAACGGAAAGGCCCUGCUUUUGUGGGGUGCUCGAGUGGCGAACGGGUGAGUAACACGUGAGUAACCUGCCCUUGACUUUGGGAUAACUUCAGGAAACUGGGGCUAAUACCGGAUAGGAGCUCCUGCUGCAUGGUGGGGGUUGGAAAGUUUCGGCGGUUGGGGAUGGACUCGCGGCUUAUCAGCUUGUUGGUGGGGUAGUGGCUUACCAAGGCUUUGACGGGUAGCCGGCCUGAGAGGGUGACCGGCCACAUUGGGACUGAGAUACGACCCAGACUCCUACGGGAGGCAGCAGUGGGAGAUAGUGCACGAUGGGCGGAAGCCUGAUGCAGCAACGCCGCGUGCGGGAUGACGGCCUGCGGGUUGUAAACCGCGUUCGCCUGUGACGAAGCGUGAGUGACGGUAAUGGGUAAAGAAGCACCGGCUAACUACGUG
This 468-nucleotide ribosomal RNA is filed under the name uncultured bacterium. RNAcentral's name for it is "partial 16S ribosomal RNA". It matches the Rfam family "Bacterial small subunit ribosomal RNA", at positions 28 to 507 of the family's 1533-position model. The record is from RNAcentral.